GCCCCUGUGGCGAAAUUGGUAGACGCGCUUGACUCAAAAUCAAGUGGGGAAACUCGUGUUGGUUCGAGUCCGACCAGGGGCACCA
RNAcentral lists this transfer RNA (85 nucleotides) under Rhodospirillaceae bacterium. RNAcentral describes it as "tRNA-Leu". It matches the Rfam family "tRNA". Rfam says of the family: Transfer RNA (tRNA) molecules are approximately 80 nucleotides in length. The record is from RNAcentral. RNAcentral also lists the same sequence under 1 other name. Lineage: Bacteria; Pseudomonadati; Pseudomonadota; Alphaproteobacteria; Rhodospirillales; Rhodospirillaceae.